GCGGCUGGAAGAGCACCGCA
This 20-nucleotide small nuclear RNA is filed under the name Arabidopsis thaliana (thale cress). Its description in RNAcentral is "snRNA_14870". Lineage: Eukaryota; Viridiplantae; Streptophyta; Magnoliopsida; Brassicales; Brassicaceae. The record is from RNAcentral.